GGAAUCGUAGCUCAGAGGGAGAGCACCACCUUGACACGGUGGGGGUCGGAGGUUCGAUUCCUCUCGAUUCCA
Transfer RNA from Tumebacillus algifaecis, 72 nucleotides. It matches the Rfam family "tRNA". From Rfam's summary of the family: Transfer RNA (tRNA) molecules are approximately 80 nucleotides in length. Their secondary structure includes four short double-helical elements and three loops (D, anti-codon, and T loops). Further hydrogen bonds mediate the characteristic L-shaped molecular structure. tRNAs have two regions of fundamental functional importance: the anti-codon, which is responsible for specific mRNA codon recognition, and the 3' end, to which the tRNAs corresponding amino acid is attached (by aminoacyl-tRNA synthetases). tRNAs cope with the degeneracy of the genetic code in two manners: having more than one tRNA (with a specific anti-codon) for a particular amino acid; and 'wobble' base-pairing, i.e. permitting non-standard base-pairing at the 3rd anti-codon position. Lineage: Bacteria; Bacillati; Bacillota; Bacilli; Caryophanales; Alicyclobacillaceae. The record is from Rfam.